Long non-coding RNA from Ornithorhynchus anatinus (platypus), 438 nucleotides. RefSeq lists it as uncharacterized. NCBI's taxonomy places the organism in Eukaryota, Metazoa, Chordata, Mammalia, Monotremata, Ornithorhynchidae. The record is from RefSeq and is a predicted model, not a curated record. The transcript has 3 exons.
GGUAAGUGGCCAUCUUUUCCUUUUCCAGAACCCAACUUCUCCUCUGAGAGUCUUAGAAACCAGAGGAGAUUGAAACACAGAAACGGAUGUUCCGAGCGUCCCCAACCCAAACCAGUUCCCGGCCACCAGAGCUUAGACUCUCUGCGCCUCGACGUCGACUCCUCGCUCCUCUGAGCCGUGCGGAAGUUGCUGAUGGAAAGGGCCUUGGGCCCUUGGCAGGAACGGUGGAUUUCAGGAUUUCUGUGAAGGUCCGGACCUUGGACCCAUGGCUCCCCGUCGCCUGAUUGUCCACCCAGAGAUGGCCUCCUGACCGUUCAUGGAUGCCCGAAGACCUGCAGCUCGGGGUCCAGUUCCAGAACAGGGUGGGGGCCAGAGAGAAUGCGGACACCGCUUUCGGGAAACCUUUUCUCUCUCAAUAAAGACCUUAUGCAACGCAGG